This 465-nucleotide ribosomal RNA is filed under the name uncultured bacterium. Its description in RNAcentral is "bacterial SSU rRNA". It matches the Rfam family "Bacterial small subunit ribosomal RNA", at positions 328 to 792 of the family's 1533-position model. The record is from RNAcentral.
CGGCCAGACUCCUACGGGAGGCAGCAGUGAGGAAUAUUGGUCAAUGGGCGAGAGCCUGAACCAGCCAAGUCGCGUGAGGGAGUACUGCCCUAUGGGUUGUAAACCUCUUUUGUCGGGGAGCAAAAGCCGGACGUGUCCGGCUGUGAGAGUACCCGAAGAAAAAGCAUCGGCUAACUCCGUGCCAGCAGCCGCGGUAAUACGGAGGAUGCGAGCGUUAUCCGGAUUUAUUGGGUUUAAAGGGUGCGCAGGCGGAUUGUUAAGUCAGCGGUCAAAUCGUGGGGCUCAACCCCAUCCAGCCGUUGAAACUGGCGGCCUCGAGUGGGCGAGAAGUAUGCGGAAUGCGUGGUGUAGCGGUGAAAUGCAUAGAUAUCACGCAGAACUCCGAUUGCGAAGGCAGCAUACCGGCGCCCGACUGACGCUGAGGCACGAAAGCGUGGGUAUCGAACAGGAUUAGAUACCCGCGUA